Long non-coding RNA from Aethalodelphis obliquidens (Pacific white-sided dolphin), 1496 nucleotides. RefSeq lists it as uncharacterized. The record is from RefSeq and is a predicted model, not a curated record. The transcript has 3 exons. Lineage: Eukaryota; Metazoa; Chordata; Mammalia; Artiodactyla; Delphinidae.
GGUCUCUGGUGGUCCAGUGUCCUGAACUCGGCUCUCCCACCUCAGAGCCUUAGGCCUGACACCCGGCCAGAGCACCAAGUCACUGUCAGCCACACGGCUUGAUGAAGAAACGCCGCGACACAGUGAUGGCGUGACCGGAAGUCCUCACUCUUUUAAUUGGUGAUGUAGCUGGUUCGUUCAACUAUAGCUUGGGCCAAAAGCUAUGGGUCAGACCAGGAAAAUCUCUGGUCUUCCAGACAUCCACAAAGAUUGGGGAUGGGUGGUAGAUGUAGAUAAAGGAAAAUUCUGACCCUAAAUUGAUGGAAAGUAGUGGGAGGUAACAAAUCUUAAGACAGGGAAUUCUUAACCUGGGCUACAGCAAACAGUAGGAAGUCAUGAGGCAAUUAUCCACUAAUAGAAAAUAAGAACACGAGGUGUAUUCUCCAGGCAAUACUAGUGGUCCACCUAAAAAUUAACAGGAAUUGAAAUAAAGUUCUCCAGCAAGGUGUUUGGAACAAGGUAGACUGUAGAGAGAUUAAGUCACUAAUGCCUGCUCCAGAUGAAAAACCCAGCUGAAGUGCAUUGCAGACAGACCUAUAAGGGAAAAAUUUACAAGGAGGUCAUUCUAAAGGAAGGGUGUUUUUAAAGAUAGCUUUUUGAAAUGAUGGAACAAAGAGGAAAGAGAACCAAAAGAUGAACCACAUAACCCCCUGCCCCCCCCCCAAAAAAAGGGAAGAUCAUUGAGUCGGCUCCAGGGCUAUAAAAGUGAGGAGGAAAAUAGCUACUUCUGGACUUUCUUCAUAUGUCUGAACGUACAGGAAGGCAGGACCUGUUUUCCAUGAUGCUGUAAGGUGGGUUACAUCAUACUGAAAUGACUCAUUUGAAUGUUAUCCCCAAAUUCUGAUGUGAAAAAUAGCUUUUAGGCAGAAGCUUAGAGAAAAGCUUUUGUGAUUCCUUUAGAAAAGAAUUGCCUGUGGAACUUUGCUAUAGCUAGAAGGGAAAAAAAAAACUAUCACGUGAGGAAAUAGUACAUCAAGCUUUCUGGCCCUGUCUACUUAGCUAAGCUUGCAGGGCAGAAGAUUAUCCAAAGUAAGGCACGUUCGCCACUUUUGGCACAUUCAGCAGAAAAUAGUUUGGUUUUUUUCCCCCUGAAUUUGUUCCUAACAUUUAUCUUCGAUUGCCUUAAGGAAAAAUCAUCCCAAGUAUAGAAGUACUUGCUUAGAAAUUAUGGUGAGUGAGUAAGUAGGACGUGCUGAGGAUAAUAAUGGGAAACUGAAAAAAAGUGACUCUAGUAAUUAAAUGGAAAUUUUUUUAAAACACCGUUUAAAAUGUAAAUCUCUUUUCCCAAAGAAAUGUAUUCAGUCCAUUGAAGGAAAUUCUUUUGUAAUCACUCUGAAGAAUGUGGAUUGUGAAGAACCCUGGCCAUGAGAAGGAAUUUGAACUAAGAUCUACUGAAUCAGUCAGGAGGAAAUAGAGCACGGGCUCUAGAUGCGCGGGCUUCAGUAGUUGUGGCACAC